RNAcentral lists this ribosomal RNA (1406 nucleotides) under Leptoneta taizhensis. RNAcentral's name for it is "SSU rRNA". It matches the Rfam family "Eukaryotic small subunit ribosomal RNA", at positions 79 to 1515 of the family's 1831-position model. Lineage: Eukaryota; Metazoa; Arthropoda; Arachnida; Araneae; Leptonetidae. The record is from RNAcentral.
AGGUGAAACCGCGAAUGGCUCAUUAAAUCAGUUAUGGUUCAAUGGAUCGUACUCAGUUACUUGGAUAACUGUGGUAAUUCUAGAGCUAAUACAUGCAGCAGAGCUCCGAACUUCGGUGACGAGCGCUUUUAUUAGACAAAGCCAGUCGGACUCGUCCGUUACUAUGGUGACUCUGGAUAACUUUGGGCUGAUCGCACGGGCUCGUCCCGGCGACGCAUCUUUCAAGUGUCUGCCUUAUCAACUGUCGACGGUUGGUUAAAUGCCUACCGUGGUUGUAACGGGUAACGGGGAAUCAGGGUUCGGUUCCGGAGAGGGAGCCCGAAAAACGGCUACCAGUUCUAAGGAAGGCAGCAGGCGCGCAAAUUGCCCACUCGAAGCACGUGGAGGCAGUGACGAAAAAUAACAAUACGGGACUCUUUUGAGACCCCGUAAUUGGAAUGAGCACAGUUUAAGGCUCUUAACGAUAAACAACUGCAGACAAAGCCUAGUGCCAGCUGUCGCGGUAACUCUAGCUGCAGUAGCGUAUGUUAAAGUUGUUGCGGUUAAAAAGCUCGUAGUUGGAUCUGUGUUACGGCUCCGGACGCUGCCUACCGGCGGUCGAUCCGGUCGCCGAACAGCCAGCCGGUUUCCCUGGAUGAUCUUCACCGGUUGUCCUUGGUGACCGGCACGUUUACUUUGAAAAAAUUAGAGUGCUCAAAGCAGGCGCGACGCCUGAACAAUGGUGCAUGGAAUAAUGGAAUAGGACCUCGGUUCUGUUUCGUUGGUUUUCUGAACUCGAGGUAAUGAUUAAGAGGGACAGACGGGGCCAUUACUACUUUCUAGGGAGAGGUGAAAUUCUGUGAUCUAGAAAAGAGUAACGAAAGCGAAAGCAUUUGGCAAGGAUGUUUCCGUUAAUCAAGAACGAAAGUUGGGGGUUCGAAGGCGAUCAGAUACCGCCCUAGUCUUAACUAUAAACGAUGCCAACCAGCGAUCCGCCUGAGUUCCUCAAAUGACUCGGCGGGCAGCUCCCGGGAAACCAAAGUUUGGUUCCGGGGGGAAUAUGGUUGCAAAACUGGAACUUAAAGGAAUUGACGGAGAGGCACUACAAGGCAUGGAUUAUGCGGCUCAAUUUGACUCAACGCACGAAAUCCUACAAUGCCAGGACACAUUUAGGAUUGACAGAUUAAGAGCUCUUUCUCGAUCAUGUGGAUUGUGGUGCAUGGCCGAUUCUAGUUGGUGGAUUGAUUUGUCUGGUUUAUUCCGAUAACGAGCGCGACCCCAGCCUGCUAAAUAGGCGACCCGGUAGAUGAAGCCGGGCGUUUUCUUAGAGGGACAGGCGGCGUUCAGCCGCACGAAACGGGGCAACAUCAGGUCUGUAAUGCCCGCAGACGUCAUUGGCGGCACGCGUGAUACCAUGAUGGAAUCAG